This 399-nucleotide ribosomal RNA is filed under the name uncultured bacterium. Its description in RNAcentral is "bacterial SSU rRNA". It matches the Rfam family "Bacterial small subunit ribosomal RNA", at positions 357 to 772 of the family's 1533-position model. The record is from RNAcentral.
AGGAAUUUUCCGCAAUGGGCGAAAGCCUGACGGAGCAACGCCGCGUGGGGGAGGACGCUUUUCGGAGUGUAAACCUCUUUUUUUGGGGACGACGACCGACGGUACCCGAGGAAGAAGGACCGGCUAACUACGUGCCAGCAGCCGCGGUAAUACGUAGGGUCCGAGCGUUGUCCGGAGUUACUGGGCGUAAAGCGCGCGCAGGCGGAGUGUCAAGUCUGGCGUGAAAGCCCCCGGCUCAACCGGGGAGGGUCGUCGGAGACUGGCAGUCUUGAGGGCGGUAGGGGCUGGUGGAAUUCCCGGUGUAGUGGUGAAAUGCGUAGAGAUCGGGAGGAACACCUGUGGCGAAGGCGGCCAGCUGGGUCGACCCUGACGCUGAGGCGCGAAGGCGUGGGGAGCGAA